UAACACGUAGGAGACGAGCGUUAUCCGGAAUUACUGGGUGUAAAGCGCGUGCAGGCGGCAUGGCAAGAUAGAUGUGAAAGCCCCCGGCUUAACUGGGGGAGGUCGUUUAUGACUGCCAGGCUAGAGGGUACCAGAGGGAAGCGGAAUUCCGAGUGUAGCGGUAAAAUGCAUAGAUAUUCGGAAGAACACCAGUGGCGAAGGCGGCUUUCUGGGGUACGACUGACGCUCAGACGCGAAAGCUAGGGUAGCAAACGGG
This 256-nucleotide ribosomal RNA is filed under the name uncultured bacterium. RNAcentral's name for it is "partial 16S ribosomal RNA". It matches the Rfam family "Bacterial small subunit ribosomal RNA", at positions 521 to 776 of the family's 1533-position model. The record is from RNAcentral.